AACGAUAUAGUGUAACGGUUAACAUACCUCGGUCUCGUCGAGGCGUUCAGGGUUCGAUUCCCUGUAUCGGAU
This 72-nucleotide transfer RNA is filed under the name Hypoxylon rubiginosum. Its description in RNAcentral is "tRNA-Glu". It matches the Rfam family "tRNA". Rfam says of the family: Transfer RNA (tRNA) molecules are approximately 80 nucleotides in length. Their secondary structure includes four short double-helical elements and three loops (D, anti-codon, and T loops). The record is from RNAcentral. Lineage: Eukaryota; Fungi; Ascomycota; Sordariomycetes; Xylariales; Hypoxylaceae.